Equus caballus (horse) is the source of this 1938-nucleotide long non-coding RNA. Lineage: Eukaryota; Metazoa; Chordata; Mammalia; Perissodactyla; Equidae. The record is from Ensembl.
CUGACUGAGGCAGAGGUACAAAAGGCCAGCCCUCUUGCCCCGAAGCAGGGCUAAGUCUGUGCUGUGAUUAAUUCUCCAAAGCUUCCUGAUGGAUCAGGCGGAAGCCAGACUCCACGCGGAGAUAACAUCUUUGCUUAGCCCUUUCCCCUGCCCUACCCUGCUUCCCCCGCACUCCUUUCUCCUGAGAGUUUUCCCUCAAUAAUCAUAUCCCUUGAAUACCUGUCUUAGGCUCUACUGCUGGGGAGCCCCCCUAAGACACCCCUCAAUAGAGCAAUGGAGUCCCUUAGUAAAAUCUGUACUCCUUUACUUGGCAUUCAAGGCCCUCUAUGAUCAGAGCACCCACUUUCCUGCCUUGUCCGCCCCGUCCCCCUUCCCUUGUGCUGUGUUGGUGCAGAGCAUAGCAGAUGACUGAACUGCAUGCUGAAUCGGCAUAUGUUGCCUCAUUUCCCACCUCUGAGCCUUUUCUAUGCUCUUCCUCCCGCUGGGCCUCUCUUUGCUGCCUCCAUCCUCCAUGCACAUUGAAGCACUACCCACACUUCAAGUGAAACCUUCCUGCCCUCGAGCCAGAAGCCCCGUCUCCCUCCUUUGAUCUCCCAGAGCACCUCCUGUGUCUCUCUGAUAACACGAAUCACCUUCUGCUUGGUAACUGUAGGGUAACACCAAGUUCAACGGCACUAUUUCUGUCUCAGUUGAGGCCCCAAAGCCAGCAGGUGCCAACCAGUCCACAUCCAAAGUGAGGCGCAAGACCACCCUAGCAGGACUUACAAAGGAGGUGGCCCAGAGCUGGAACUCCCUGCCGACCCUUCACCCCCAGGCCAUCAGUGAAGCUAUUGAGCCAGUUACUAGCACACCGCUGCUUGACAGCUUCCACUUAUGAACUCUUGUGAGCCCUGAACCACCACAUAAGAAGUUCAGCUACCUUUCAGGAAAGACCACCUGUGGAAAAGCCCCAUGGAGAGGGAGAGACCCUGAGAUUACAUGGAGGAGAACCAAGGCACCCAGAUAAAUGACCCAGUGGAGCUAUUCCAGCAAGUCUCCAGCCUUGCGAGCCCUCCUAGCUGAGGCAUCUGACCUAUGAAUGAAGAGGCCACGGACACCCGACCCCGGGAGACAUCAUCACACGGAUCAGAGAUGAGCCAUCCCUGCUGCAACCUGUCUGAAUUCCCGACUCAUAGCUGGUCAAAUAAGAGAUUUGUGGUUUUAAACCAUUAAGUUUUGGGGUACUUUAGGAUGCAUCAGUAGACAGAACUGCUGGGGAUCCCAAGACAAAGAGCCAGACAGCCCCAUGUCCCCUGCCAUGGUCUCUUCCCUAUGUAGCUUCUCAUUCCCUUUGGCAUUGCCUGGGUUCCAGGAAGCCCGAAGGAGAGGUUCCCAGCUCUCUCACCCCAACAGAGGUGGCCUCACUUGCCCCCGAACCACCCUGAUCUUCCAGGGAUCCCGGAGGGCAUCCCCACUCACACCCUCCCCCAUCCCAUGGAAGCAGACAGGGAGAUGCGGAGUGAGGGAUUCUGCUGGGGAGGCUGGUGUGGAGCUGAGAGAGGGAUGGAGCCCCUCCCUUCCCUGUUGACAUUUGGAAAGGACAAAAUUAGGAGGAAGGUAAAUGUUACUUUUCUUGUCUUCUGGGGACCAGGGAAGAGGAAGGCCAACCCAAGGUUCGGAUUGUUUUCAAGUUUGGUGAGGAUGCUGGGGUGCUGGGCAUGAGUUCCCUGAAGACUGAGGAGGUUGUUGCUCGUGGGCUUGGCGUCUUGCAACAGAGGUUGCUUGGGAACAGUGUGGGGCAAGACUGCCCUCUCCAUCCCCUUCUGGAGCCUCUGCGGCUGGUGGUCCCAACCAGGGGUGAUGCCACUGGUCUGCAUAGUGUUUCCAAAUUCCUGACAGCUACUGAUCUGGGGGACUUGGGAAUGAGCAAUUAGAAUCCCGAGAGUUCUUGGAAAUUCC